Molecule: ribosomal RNA, 452 nt
Filed under: uncultured bacterium
Lineage: Bacteria
Description: bacterial SSU rRNA
Rfam family: Bacterial small subunit ribosomal RNA
Source: RNAcentral
GUACGGGAGGCAGCGGUGGGGAAUAUUGCACAAUGGGCGCAAGCCUGAUGCAGCCAUGCCGCGUGUAUGAAGAAGGCCUUCGGGUUGUAAAGUACUUUCAGUCGUGAGGAAGGUGUUAAGGUUAAUAACCUUAGCAAUUGACGUUAGCGACAGAAGAAGCACCGGCUAACUCCGUGCCAGCAGCCGCGGUAAUACGGAGGGUGCGAGCGUUAAUCGGAAUUACUGGGCGUAAAGGGCACGCAGGCGGUUAAUUAAGUUGGAUGUGAAAUCCCCGGGCUUAACCUGGGAAUGGCAUUCAAGACUGGUUAGCUAGAGUCUUGUAGAGGGGGUAGAAUUCCAUGUGUAGCGGUGAAAUGCGUAGAGAUGUGGAGGAAUACCGGUGGCGAAGGCGGCCCCUGGACAAAGACUGACGCUCAUGUGCGAAAGCGUGGGGAGCAAACAGGGAUUAGAUA